UCUGGAGACAGGUGGCUGCAUGGCUGUCGUCAGCUCGUGUCGUGAGAUGUUGGGUUAAGUACCCGCAACGAGCGCAACCCUUGCCUUUAGUUGCCAGCAGUUCGGCUGGGCACUCUAAAGGGACUGCCGGUGUUAAACCGGAGGAAGGUGGGGAUGACGUCAAGUCCUCAUGGCCUUUAUGACCAGGGCUACACACGUACUACAAUGGCCGAUACAAAGGGCAGCGACACUGCGAGGUGAAGCCAAUCCCGUAAAAUCGGUCUCAGUCCGGAUUGGAGUCUGCAACUCGACUCCAUGAAGUUGGAAUCGCUAGUAAUCGUGGAUCAGCAUGCCACGGUGAAUACGUUCCCGGGCCUU
RNAcentral lists this ribosomal RNA (357 nucleotides) under uncultured Desulfobulbus sp. RNAcentral's name for it is "bacterial SSU rRNA". It matches the Rfam family "Bacterial small subunit ribosomal RNA", at positions 1027 to 1382 of the family's 1533-position model. Lineage: Bacteria; Pseudomonadati; Thermodesulfobacteriota; Desulfobulbia; Desulfobulbales; Desulfobulbaceae. The record is from RNAcentral.